This 859-nucleotide ribosomal RNA is filed under the name uncultured bacterium. RNAcentral describes it as "bacterial SSU rRNA". It matches the Rfam family "Bacterial small subunit ribosomal RNA", at positions 15 to 916 of the family's 1533-position model. The record is from RNAcentral.
GAUCCUGGCUCAGGAUGAACGCUAGCGGUAUGCUUAACACAUGCAAGUCGUACGGAAAAGAAAUUUUUAGUGGCGAACGGGUGCGUAACACGUGAGAAUCUGCCUUUAGGAAGGGGAUAACAUUUAGAAACAUUUGCUAAUACCCUAUAUGCUUUACGGUGAAAGAAUUUAUUCGCCUAAAGAGGAGCUCGCGUCUGAUUAGCUAGUUGGUAGGGUAAAGGCCUACCAAGGCGACGAUCAGUAGUUGGUCUGAGAGGACGGCCAGCCACAUUGGAACUGAGACACGGUCCAGACUCUUACGGGAGGCAGCAGUGAGGAAUUUUCUGCAAUGGGCGCAAGCCUGACAGAGCAAUACCGCGUGAGGGAUGACUGCCUACGGGUUGUAAACCUCUUUUCUCAAGGAGGAAGAUAUGACGUUACUUGAGGAAUAAGCAUCGGCUAACCCUGUGCCAGCAGCCGCGGUAAUACAGGGGAUGCAAGUGUUAUCCGGAAUUAUUGGGCGUAAAGCGUCUGCAGGUUGAUCUAUAAGUCUUUUGUUAAAUCUUCGGGCUCAACCCGAAAGCCGCAAAAGAAACUAUUUAUCUUGAGUAUGGUAGAGGUAAGGGGAAUUUCGAGUGGAGCGGUGAAAUGCGUAGAUAUUCGAAAGAACACCAAUAGCGAAGGCACCUUACUGGGCCAUUACUGACACUCAGAGACGAAAGCUAGGGUAGCAAACGGGAUUAGAUACCCCGGUAGUCCUAGCUGUAAACGAUGGAUACUAGAUGUUGCGUACUUUAUAGUAUGCAGUGUCGUAGCUAACGCGUUAAGUAUCCCGCCUGGGAAGUAUGCGCGCAAGCGUGAAACUCAAAGGAAUUGACGG